UCGUAACAAGGUUUCCGUAGGUGAACCUGCGGAAGGAUCAUUACCGAGUGCGGGUUCUAACGAGCCCAACCUCCCACCCGUGUUUACUGUUACCGCGUUGCUUCGGCGGGCCCACUGGGGCCUGGCCCCGGUCGCCGGGGGGCUUCUGCCCCCGGGUCCGCGCCCGCCGAAGCGCCCUGGAACCCUGUCUGAAUAGUGAGUCUGAGUGGAUAUUGAAUCAUUAAAACUUUCAACAACGGAUCUCUUGGUUCCGGCAUCGAUGAAGAACGCAGCGAAAUGCGAUAAGUAAUGUGAAUUGCAGAAUUCCGUGAAUCAUCGAAUCUUUGAACGCACAUUGCGCCCCCUGGCAUUCCGGGGGGCAUGCCUGUCCGAGCGUCAUUUCUGCCCUCCAGCGCGGCUGGGUGUUGGGUGCUGUCCCCCCGGGGACACGCCCCAAAAGCAGUGGCGGCGCCGCGUCGGGUCCUCGAGCGUAUGGGGCUCUGUCACCCGCUCGGGAGGGACUCGGUCGGCGCUGGUCUUCCUCUAGGCGACCCUUCGGGGCUCGUCUCCUCCGGUUGACCUCGGAUCAGGUAGGGCUACCCGCUGAACUUAAGCAUAUCAAUAA
RNAcentral lists this unclassified non-coding RNA (604 nucleotides) under Talaromyces subaurantiacus. RNAcentral's name for it is "sequence contains 18S rRNA gene, ITS1, 5.8S rRNA gene, ITS2, 28S rRNA gene". The stretch from base 225 to 378 matches the Rfam family "5.8S ribosomal RNA". The record is from RNAcentral. Lineage: Eukaryota; Fungi; Ascomycota; Eurotiomycetes; Eurotiales; Trichocomaceae.